This 253-nucleotide unclassified non-coding RNA is filed under the name uncultured Myxococcales bacterium. RNAcentral describes it as "contains 16S-23S intergenic spacer region". It matches the Rfam family "Bacterial small subunit ribosomal RNA", at positions 524 to 776 of the family's 1533-position model. The record is from RNAcentral. Lineage: Bacteria; Pseudomonadati; Myxococcota; Myxococcia; Myxococcales.
UACAGAGGGUGCAAACGUUGUUCGGAAUUACUGGGCGUAAAGCGCGUGUAGGCGGUACGUUAAGUCGACUGUGAAAGCCCACGGCUCAACCGUGGAAGCGCAGUCGAAACUGGCGAACUUGAGUCCCGGAGAGGAUGGUGGAAUUCCCAGUGUAGAGGUGAAAUUCGUAGAUAUUGGGAGGAACACCGGUGGCGAAGGCGGCCAUCUGGACGGGUACUGACGCUGAGACGCGAAAGCGUGGGUAGCAAACAGG